Molecule: ribosomal RNA, 274 nt
Filed under: uncultured fungus
Lineage: Eukaryota; Fungi
Description: partial 28S ribosomal RNA
Rfam family: Eukaryotic large subunit ribosomal RNA
Source: RNAcentral
UGUGAAAUUGUUGAAAGGGAAGCGAAUAAGGUCAGUGGUGUGUGUACAUAUAUUAAGGCAGUUUCGGCUGCUGACCGUAUGUGCAUGCGUGUCAACAUGAGUUCAUCUCGUGGGAAAUGCCUGGAUGAUAGAACGUGGGCUUGCUCACCUUCAUCUUUGUGUACCAUGGGGUGGACUGAGGAUAAUGAAUGUAAGUUCGGCUCCGGCUCUGUUACAUCAUGAUGUUGACGAAAUGGCCUUAUUCGGCCCGUCUUGAAACACGGACCAAGGAGUC